RNAcentral lists this non-coding RNA (23 nucleotides) under Rattus norvegicus (Norway rat). Lineage: Eukaryota; Metazoa; Chordata; Mammalia; Rodentia; Muridae. The record is from RNAcentral.
GAUUUUCGUGUUGAUUGCUGAGU